Molecule: long non-coding RNA, 232 nt
Filed under: Lathyrus oleraceus (garden pea)
Lineage: Eukaryota; Viridiplantae; Streptophyta; Magnoliopsida; Fabales; Fabaceae
Description: Pisum sativum (pea) long non-coding RNA (PSAT_LNC028155)
Source: RNAcentral
AAAAAUCAAACCCAGCCGCCUGGCUGUUGGGUUAUCAAUGGGGAAUAAGUUGGAAAUAGAAAAAACAAUUAUUACCUAAUAUCCUAGGAAUUCUAAGCAAAACCUUUAAUGUUUUUUUAAAAAAUCUAUUCUGUUUAAAAUGAAAUAAAAAAAGAAAAAUUGGAACAGUAGCAGACUCGUUCUCUCCCUCACUCUCUCCCCAAUCUCACAAACUCACUCUCUCAGACAAACG